AUUGUGAUUUGUGAUAUGUUUUUAAUAAAUGGGAAGUGGUGUUUUUAUUAAGAUGUGUAAUUGUGGAAAUCAUUGAAAAAAUCAAUUGUUUAAUACUUUAAUUUCUUAUGUGCUUGAAUUGGGGCAGCAUUGAUAUUGAUAGUUGAUAGCUUUUAUCGAUAUUUCAUAGCUUUUAUCGCUCAUAAAUUCUUGUAUAUGUCUUGAAUUGAGACAGCCUUGAUAGUUGUUUAUAUGUCUCAUUGAACUCAAAUGUGACAUGAAUUCUUCUAUAUGUUGCCUAAUUGUAUAUUCCAAAACCAUUAAUCUAUCAUUCAAAAUUUUGCCAUUGAAAUUUUAGUGAUUUUGAAUUUAGUCCCAAACAACCUAACAACAUCUCAAUAAAAACAACCAAAUCUUCAAUUUAGUAUCAAGUAUUUCUGUGCAUAUAAUAAAUUAAAAUUUAUUGAUCUUAAAUUUAAAAUCAAGUCAUAAAUAAAUUUAUAUUCAAGUUAGGUGACAACUCAUAAGCCUAUAGACUAGUUGACUCACGAGCAUAUAACAAUUCCAAAAUAAUAGUAAUUAACUUACUUAACUAAGAUAAUAGCAUUUCCUUGCUUUUUAAUAUGGUUGAUUGCUUUUUCGGUUAGAUGGGUAUUGUUUUAGUUACAAGUUAUUUAUGUACUUGUUGCAUUUAGAUUGUUAUGACUUAUUUCUAUAAAGUUUGAACUUAUAGAAUUUACAGAUUUUAUUCAAUGAUAUAACAACUCAUAUUAUUAUUUGUAUUGUUGUUUAUGCUAUGAUAUUUCAAUUUUACAACCUCACUUUCAUCUUAUACUUAAGAAGGAAAUGCAAGUACACACUAUUUUCAAUUUCUCUUAUAUUACAU
Molecule: unclassified non-coding RNA, 865 nt
Filed under: Hevea brasiliensis (rubber tree)
Lineage: Eukaryota; Viridiplantae; Streptophyta; Magnoliopsida; Malpighiales; Euphorbiaceae
Source: RNAcentral